Molecule: long non-coding RNA, 378 nt
Organism: Astatotilapia calliptera (eastern happy)
Lineage: Eukaryota; Metazoa; Chordata; Actinopteri; Cichliformes; Cichlidae
Source: Ensembl
GGGAGUAUCAUGAAGUAAUGCACUAAUGGCUUGGAAACGGUAAUUGUUUGUCUUUCUAAAGUUUUUUUUUAUUUAUUUGUCUUCCUUUUCUGGCAGAUUUUCUUCCCCUUAUGUGUUACUGUUUAUUCAAGAAGAUGGUGUUAUUUUGGUAAAUGCUGAAUUCCAGUGUAUUACAACACUUCAACUGGAGAUGACCUUCGCGGCACAGUUAGACAGAAUUACACCUCAGUUGAUGACAGUUUUCCAGAAGAAGGGCGGUGUUUCUGGGCAGAAACUUGCCCACCACUUGCAGAUCAUGCAAGAGGCUGAAAGUGAUGUUAAAGUGAAAAGGGAAGCAGUUCUCAGGGCACUUUGCCUCUACCUUGGUGAAGAGGACGG